Molecule: small nucleolar RNA, 72 nt
Organism: Hippoglossus stenolepis (Pacific halibut)
Lineage: Eukaryota; Metazoa; Chordata; Actinopteri; Pleuronectiformes; Pleuronectidae
Product: small nucleolar RNA SNORD2
Exons: 1
Source: RefSeq, a predicted model, not a curated record
AGGUGAUAUGAUGCUUUACCAUCUUUCGGGACUGACUUAAAAUGCUGAGUUUCUUUAUUACACUGAUCACCA